RNAcentral lists this ribosomal RNA (434 nucleotides) under uncultured Ruminococcus sp. RNAcentral describes it as "partial 16S ribosomal RNA". It matches the Rfam family "Bacterial small subunit ribosomal RNA", at positions 341 to 792 of the family's 1533-position model. Lineage: Bacteria; Bacillati; Bacillota; Clostridia; Eubacteriales; Oscillospiraceae. The record is from RNAcentral.
ACGGAAGGCAGCAGUGGGGAAUAUUGGACAAUGGGGGAAACCCUGAUCCAGCGAUGCCGCGUGAGGGAAGAAGGUUUUCGGAUUGUAAACCUCUGUCAACAGGGACGAAAAUGACGGUACCUGUGAAGGAAGCUCCGGCUAACUACGUGCCAGCAGCCGCGGUAAUACGUAGGGAGCAAGCGUUAUCCGGAAUUACUGGGUGUAAAGGGAGUGUAGGCGGGACUGUAAGUCAGAUGUGAAAUAUGCCGGCUCAACUGGCAGACUGCAUUUGAAACUGCGGUUCUUGAGUGAAGUAGAGGUAAGCGGAAUUCCUAGUGCAGCGGUGAAAUGCGUAGAUAUUAGGAGGAACAUCAGUGGCGAAGGCGGCUUACUGGGCUUUAACUGACGCUGAGGCUCGAAAGCGUGGGGAGCAAACAGGAUUAGAUACCCUGGUA